AAAGAGAUUAUUUUUGUUAUAUGUCGUUUACUACGCUCUUUACAUCCACGACUCCCGGACGGUUACGUGAGCUCAAAAUAUUCUUCGAAAAACGUGGGUAGGCCACAAUUUUUUUGUAGGUACAACUUGCACCACCAACUUAUCUGUUCAGGUGGGAAAAAUUGGAGCUAGAGCCGCGUCAGCCGCCAUUUCAAAAUCCACGCGCACGAAUCGCGGGCAUCAGCUAAUCACACUAAU
Maniola jurtina (meadow brown) is the source of this 237-nucleotide long non-coding RNA. RefSeq lists it as uncharacterized. Lineage: Eukaryota; Metazoa; Arthropoda; Insecta; Lepidoptera; Nymphalidae. The transcript has 3 exons. The record is from RefSeq and is a predicted model, not a curated record.